AUUGAACGCUGGCGGCAGGCCUAACACAUGCAAGUCGAACGGUAACAGAAAGCAGCUUGCUGCUUUGCUGACGAGUGGCGGACGGGUGAGUAAUGUCUGGGAAACUGCCUGAUGGAGGGGGAUAACUACUGGAAACGGUAGCUAAUACCGCAUAACGUCGCAAGACCAAAGAGGGGGACCUUCGGGCCUCUUGCCAUCGGAUGUGCCCAGAUGGGAUUAGCUAGUAGGUGGGGUAACGGCUCACCUAGGCGACGAUCCCUAGCUGGUCUGAGAGGAUGACCAGCCACACUGGAACUGAGACACGGUCCAGACUCCUACGGGAGGCAGCAGUGGGGAAUAUUGUACAAUGGGCGCAAGCCUGAUGCAGCCAUGCCGCGUGUAUGAAGAAGGCCUUCGGGUUGUAAAGUACUUUCAGCGGGGAGGAAGGGAGUAAAGUUAAUACCUUUGCUCAUUGACGUUACCCGCAGAAGAAGCACCGGCUAACUCCGUG
Molecule: ribosomal RNA, 490 nt
Filed under: uncultured bacterium
Lineage: Bacteria
Description: partial 16S ribosomal RNA
Rfam family: Bacterial small subunit ribosomal RNA
Source: RNAcentral